UGGGGAAUCUUGCGCAAUGCGCGAAAGCGUGACGCAGCAACACCGCGUGAGGGAAGACGGCCUUAGGGUUGUAAACCUCUUUCAGAUGGGACGCGGUACCGUCAGAAGAAGCUCCGGCUAACUACGUGCCAGCAGCCGCGGUAAUACGUAGGGAGCGAGCGUUGUCCGGAAUCAUUGGGCGUAAAGAGCAUGUAGGUGGAUCAAUUAGUCUGCUGUGAAAGUCAAAGGCUCAACCUUUGAAAGCCGGUGGAUACUGUUGGUCUAGAGUACGGAAGAGGCGAGUGGAAUUCCUGGUGUAGCGGUGGAAUGCGCAGAUAUCGUCAAGAACACCGAUAGCGAAGGCAGCUUACUAAGCUGUAACUGACGCUGAGGCACGAAAGUGU
Molecule: ribosomal RNA, 383 nt
Filed under: uncultured bacterium
Lineage: Bacteria
Description: bacterial SSU rRNA
Rfam family: Bacterial small subunit ribosomal RNA
Source: RNAcentral